CUGUGGGUUAGGACGACGGAGGACUUUUCGACCCCGUGUAGGCUUUGAUGUUUAGAGUACCUGCUCGCGUGCGUCUUCGACAGGUGGUCAGUUAACGCUCGAGCAUUUAUGAGAUGGUCGGUUCGUCUCGGCGGCAAGUAGGGUGCAGAGCGCAGCAGACGAGCAUCGCGGUGCGGUAGCGCCGCGCGCGACCGAGCCGCUGUGCAGCAGUUCAGUGGGAGAGUCUCGAACCGUGCAGGCGUCCAAGCGCUCGGAUGCUGGUGCUCAAAGCGCUCGUCUCGCCGUCGGGUGGUUCGUCCGAGCAGUAGAAGCCGCUACUCAAGGGCGCAGCGGCCUAGGCAGGAGGAGGCGGUGGACCCGGGCGCGCAGAAGCCCGGCUGGUGAGGACGACGCGUCUCCGGGGACGAACGGCCUCCUCUUCCCCCGCGGCACCAGCACACCCGCGCCGGCGACAGGUGGAGGCGGCGUCUCCGCCGCUCCCUCCUCCGCCGGCGCAGGUUCCUGUUGCACCGCUCGUGGCGGCGGCGCUGCCGGCUCCGCUACGUCCGGCGCUUCCGGGUCCGGCACGUCCGGCGGUUCCUCCCCCCGUUCUCGGGUCACUCGUCGAUGACCCCGUAGCACGGACGGUUCGACCACUUGUUCCUGCCGCGGCUCACCUUCACCAGAACGAAGUCCGGCACCCUCCGCAUGUGCAGCCUGUGCUGCUAGCUAGAGUGGUUCGUGGUGUUCGGGUUCCACGACGAGCUGUUCUAGCGGAUGACCUGGCAGUUCAGCGACGCGCACGGGUGGCUGUAGAAGAAGGUCUCCUCCAUGCCCACGGCCCGCUACUACGACCUCUGCCACCGCCGCCACGGCCCCUACCACCCGCCCUACGACGAGGUGGACGCCAGCGACGCCGCCAAGCUCGUCUCGCCGCCCACCUAGGCCCGCGACGACCUCCUCCGUCUCUUGCUCGCCUACGUGGACUACUGGAAGUACCUCCACCGGUUUGGGUUCACCAUGCUCGCGCGCGACCACGACCGCCACGUCCCGCAGAAGAAGUUGCGGAUGAAGGACCCGAUGUAGCACAGGGGGUUCAAACGCGUGGCGCAGCAGCCGAUGGAGCUCCUCCUCCGGUAGGUGAGGAUGUGGCUCAAGGAGGCGCUGGAGCUCCGGCCGUCCUAGCUCUUGCAGGGGCGGGGCGCGUAGCGGUAGCUGAUGACCGCGGAGGGGCGGCUGCGGUCCGAGUUCCUGCACCAGUGGCAGCACGCGCGGCUGCUCCGCGUGGUGGCGCUGCAGUUGGUGAAGCGGCGCCUGUAGGUAAAGGUCCCCGACCUCGAGUUGUUCUGCGGACGGGGCGAUCCUAUAGUGACUGCUUACUUACGGGUCCGGCCGAACAUGAGACGGUAACAGUCAUUUCUUGUUUUCAGCAACGAUUAUAUACACAGCCUAUCCAUUCCAUCACCACGAACUCUUUAUUUUGCCGGCAUACAUUGCUCUCGAGGUUCUAAAGAGCUUCUUGAUAAGCCAAGCGAUCGCUACUUGCCACCACGUGAAGCCGAACAUUACCUUCAACGAAGACAAUCGUUUCCUAUAUACCGCUUGGUUGGAUACCAACCUACCAAUCGCCCUGACACCAUAAGGGUCGGGUAGUCCCAAGUUUAGGACCACGAGCGUAAAUAAGGACCUAAAUAAAGUCCUAAAAGCCGCUACACGUAUGUCACCCUCCUCUGCAAGGGCAGCUGCUGCUCUGCGGAUGCCACUGAAGCAUUUAUAGUUCUACUAUACGACCGAGUCAGAAAGUCUCCACGAGUAUACCCAUCCCGCACGCACAAACGCAAGUAUCCCUACUUACAUACGCGCACAUACUCGGGAACACAGACAUGACUACAAGUUUUUUUUAUAUUACCCGAUUACCGGGUAGUUUGGUAGCACGGGCGUUUUUUUUUUUCGUUUCCUAUAUACACGACUGUAAGACGAAGUC
Molecule: ribosomal RNA, 1963 nt
Filed under: Triticum aestivum (bread wheat)
Lineage: Eukaryota; Viridiplantae; Streptophyta; Magnoliopsida; Poales; Poaceae
Description: partial small subunit ribosomal RNA
Source: RNAcentral